RNAcentral lists this ribosomal RNA (389 nucleotides) under uncultured eukaryote. RNAcentral's name for it is "SSU rRNA". It matches the Rfam family "Eukaryotic small subunit ribosomal RNA", at positions 587 to 972 of the family's 1831-position model. The record is from RNAcentral.
AGCUCCAAGAGCAUAUAUUAAAGUUGUUGCAGUUAAAAAGCUCGUAGUUGAACUUCUUAUAAAUGCACCUGGCCCGCGGCCCUCAAGGCUUGUGUGUGCCGGAGCGCAUUUAUAAUCCUUCUAGAAAACGAUUCUGCCAUUAACUUGGUGGGGUCGCGAUCUAGAACAUUUACUUUGAAAAAAUUAGAGUGUUUAAAGCAGGCGGAAAGUCAUAAAUACAUUAGCAUGGAAUAAUAAUCUAGGACUUCGGUUCUAUUUUGUUGGUUUCUAUAACUGAAGUAAUGAUUGAUAGGGACAGUUGGGGGUGCUAGUAUUGGCCGGCCAGAGGUGAAAUUCUUGGAUUCGGUCAAGACUAACUUAUGCGAAAGCAUUCACCAAGGAUGUCUUCU